UUAUAUUUUUGAAAACAUUUUUUGCGAUUUUAUUACAUUUAUUUUUCUAACUGGUAGGACAGAGCCAAUUAAACCCGAGGUUCAAGAUGAGAUAUCAUCUCUACAAGAUUUCCUAGCAAGGGAUUCUGUAUCAGCUGAAAAUCUCAUCAGCAACACACAACAACAGGCCAUUGUACUUGAAAAAUAGUGACGCUUUCAGAAUAACAGCUAAGAUGAAGAAGAAUAUUCCUGCGGAGUCUUGUCAAGAAGUGCUUUAUUGUCAUUG
This 265-nucleotide long non-coding RNA is filed under the name Anolis carolinensis (green anole). Its description in RNAcentral is "lncRNA (ENSACAG00000037694.1)". Lineage: Eukaryota; Metazoa; Chordata; Lepidosauria; Squamata; Anolidae. The record is from RNAcentral.